Molecule: ribosomal RNA, 374 nt
Filed under: uncultured Clostridium sp.
Lineage: Bacteria; Bacillati; Bacillota; Clostridia; Eubacteriales; Clostridiaceae
Description: bacterial SSU rRNA
Rfam family: Bacterial small subunit ribosomal RNA
Source: RNAcentral
UGGGGAUAUUGCGCAAUGGGGGAAACCCUGACGCAGCAAUGCCGCGUGAAGGAAGAAGGUUUUCGGAUUGUAAACUUCUUUUGUUAAGGACGAAGAAUGACGGUACUUAACGAAUAAGCUCCGGCUAACUAUGUGCCAGCAGCCGCGGUAAUACAUAGGGAGCAAGCGUUAUCCGGAUUUACUGGGUGUAAAGGGUGCGUAGGCGGCUAAGCAAGUCAGAUGUGAAAUACACGGGCUCAACCCGUGAGCUGCAUUUGAAACUGUUUAGCUUGAGUGAAGUAGAGGCAGGCGGAAUUCCUAGUGUAGCGGUGAAAUGCGUAGAUAUUAGGAGGAACACCGGUGGCGAAGGCGGCUUUCUGGACUGUAACUGACGC